UACCUGGUCUUGACAUCCACGGAAUUAGGCAGAGAUGCCUUAGUGCCUUCGGGAACCGUGAGACAGGUGCUGCAUGGCUGUCGUCAGCUCGUGUUGUGAAAUGUUGGGUUAAGUCCCGCAACGAGCGCAACCCUUAUCCUUUGUUGCCAGCGGUCCGGCCGGGAACUCAAAGGAGACUGCCAGUGAUAAAGGGGAGGAAGGUGGGGAUGACGUCAAGUCAUCAUGGCCCUUACGACCAGGGCUACACACGUGCUACAAUGGCGCAUACAAAGAGAAGCGACCUCGCGAGAGCAAGCGGACCUCAUAAAGUGCGUCGUAGUCCGGAUUGGAGUCUGCAACUCGACUCCAUGAAGUCGGAAUC
Molecule: ribosomal RNA, 361 nt
Filed under: Pantoea sp. FER38
Lineage: Bacteria; Pseudomonadati; Pseudomonadota; Gammaproteobacteria; Enterobacterales; Erwiniaceae
Description: bacterial SSU rRNA
Rfam family: Bacterial small subunit ribosomal RNA
Source: RNAcentral